GUGCCAGCAGCCGCGGUAAUACGUAGGGGGCGAGCGUUGUCCGGAAUUAUUGGGCGUAAAGCGCGCGCAGGCGGUCCUUUAAGUCUGAUGUGAAAGCCCACGGCUCAACCGUGGAGGGUCAUUGGAAACUGGGGGACUUGAGUGCAGGAGAGGAGAGCGGAAUUCCACGUGUAGCGGUGAAAUGCGUAGAGAUGUGGAGGAACACCAGUGGCGAAGGCGGCUCUCUGGCCUGUAACUGACGCUGAGGCGCGAAAGCGUGGGGAGCAAACAGGAUUAGAUACCCUGGUAGUCCACGCCGUAAACGAUGAGUGCUAAGUGUUAGAGGGGUCACACCCUUUAGUGCUGCAGCUAACGCUGAUAAUGCACUCCGCCUGGGGAGUACGGUCGCAAGCUGAAACUCAAAGGAAUUGACGG
This 414-nucleotide ribosomal RNA is filed under the name Geobacillus thermodenitrificans. RNAcentral's name for it is "bacterial SSU rRNA". It matches the Rfam family "Bacterial small subunit ribosomal RNA", at positions 505 to 916 of the family's 1533-position model. The record is from RNAcentral. Lineage: Bacteria; Bacillati; Bacillota; Bacilli; Caryophanales; Anoxybacillaceae.